This is a long non-coding RNA of Ziziphus jujuba (common jujube), 1282 nucleotides long. RefSeq lists it as uncharacterized. The transcript is spliced from 2 exons. The record is from RefSeq and is a predicted model, not a curated record. Lineage: Eukaryota; Viridiplantae; Streptophyta; Magnoliopsida; Rosales; Rhamnaceae.
UUUUUUUCCCCUAUAAUUUCAUGUUCAUUAAUUGCUUUUGUACUUUUUUUUUUUUUUUUUGCUAGAAUAAUUGCUUUUGUCCUUUGAACGUUUAUAUUUUAGAUGAAAUAUUAAAAUAAUUUUAAAAAUCACUUCAAGAAUAAUAUAAAAUAAUGAAAUCAAUUCCAUUUAAUAAUAAAUUAGGCCUAGUUCAUCUUGACAUUGGUUUUGAUCUGUAUCAGAUAAAAAUAAACCAUAUUUGGAAAGAAGAAGUAAAAAAUAAUAAGAGUAAUAUGUAAUAUAUAUAUAUAUAUAUAUAUUUAUGAUUAUUAUUGAUUAGUCAGGAACCAAAUGGCAAUAAGAUCACGUGAGAGUGUGCAAGACGGAUAGAAAAGGAGAUGCCAAAGAUAACAGCCUGCUAAAACUCUUUUCAAAAGGCCAGCAAAUGCAUGGCUUUUUUUUUUGUUUUUUUUUUUUUUUUGUUUAAAUGGCAAUAAAAAAUACAGUAAUUCUCAACUCAAUUAUUUAUAUUUUGAGUUGCGGAAAAAAAAAAAAAUCAAACUGAGCAAGAAGUGGGAUCCACUAUUGAUUUGAUAAUUAAAAUGUUACUUAGUAAAUGCACCUCAAUUAUUUUAUAAGGGUGCACUAGACGUGUAGUCUACCCAACGACAGGCGAAGCAGGUUGAAAACUACCAUUUUUAUGAAAACGGUAGUCAAAGUGGGGGUGCAGAAGGAUAGUGACAAAGAAAGGCCAGAAGAGGAAUAUCAGAAUGCUUUGGCCAUAUCACCAGAGCUGAAUACUUUAAAAAAGAAAACAUUAGAAGGGCAAGUAUCGGAUAAUCUCAGCGAGAUUCAAGCAGCAGUCCUGCACCAAGUUCGUAUUUCAAAUUUCAAUCCUCAAGCUUUAGCCACGUGGGUCAGUGGUCUACUCCAACACAUUUCCUUGUUCAAUGCUGAAGAGGGACGUGAAAACAUCAAUUUUUAAGGAAACCAAUCACAAAAUAGGGAAGAAGCUCUGCAACUUACAACUAUGGAAGGAGGGAACACCAGACUCACUCCUCAAGAAGAGAACAGCGGAGGCCCUGCUGAUGUUGUUCUUGGUGUUUUGUCAAGUUUGCUAGUUGUUCUUGGUGUUGUUUCCAUCAGACAAAAAGCAACCAUCAAGUUUGCUACUUGUUCUUGAUGUUGUUUCCAUCAGACCAAAAGCACCCAUCAAAGCAUCAAAGUUUGCAAACUAGCUAUAUAUUUUUAGCCCUGUAUUAUUACUAUAAAUAGACAGAAAAGAGAGAGAGAGAGAGAGAGA